AAAAUUUAAAUUUAAAAUACUAAAAUAGUAAAUAAGAAUUUAUUGAAACUUAAAUAAUUUGGCGGUAUUUUAGUUCAUUUAGAGGAAUCUGUUUAAUAAUUGAUAUUCCACGUAUAAAUUUACUUAAUUUAUAAUUUUGUAUAUCGUUGUUAUAAAAAUAUUUUUUAAUAAAAUUAAUAUUUAAUAAUUGAUAUUAAAAAUUAAAUCAGAUCAAGAUGCAGAUUAUAAUUAAGAAUAUAAUGGAUUACAAUAAAUUUAUUUAAAUGGAUUUUAAUUUUUAAUAAUUAAUUGAAAGUGGAUUUAAAUGUAAUUUUAUUUAAUUUAAUAAAAUGAUUAAAAAUUAAAAUAUGU
This 351-nucleotide ribosomal RNA is filed under the name Pirateolea sp. PITAG4860. RNAcentral describes it as "partial 12S small subunit ribosomal RNA". The record is from RNAcentral. Lineage: Eukaryota; Metazoa; Arthropoda; Insecta; Lepidoptera; Noctuidae.